GAUGAACGCUAGCUACAGGCUUAACACAUGCAAGUCGCGGGGCAGCAUGGGGGUUGCUUGCAAUCCCCGAUGGCGACCGGCGCACGGGUGAGUAACGCGUAUCCAACCUGCCCUUCACCACGGGAUAACCCGGCGAAAGUCGGACUAAUACCGUAUGUUGUCCAUUGACGGCAUCCGAUUUGGACGAAAGGUUUGGCGGUGAAGGAUGGGGAUGCGUCCGAUUAGCUGGACGGCGGGGUGACGGCCCACCGUGGCGACGAUCGGUAGGGGUUCUGAGAGGAAGGUCCCCCAGACUGGAACUGAGACACGGUCCAGACUCCUACGGGAGGCAGCAGUGAGGAAUAUUGGUCAAUGGGCGUAAGCCUGAACCAGCCAAGUAGCGUGCAGGAUGACGGCCCUAUGGGUUGUAAACUGCUUUUAUGCGGGGAUAAAGUGGCCCACGUGUGGGUUUUUGCAGGUACCGCAUGAAUAAGGACCGGCUAAUUCCGUG
RNAcentral lists this ribosomal RNA (490 nucleotides) under uncultured bacterium. RNAcentral describes it as "partial 16S ribosomal RNA". It matches the Rfam family "Bacterial small subunit ribosomal RNA", at positions 28 to 507 of the family's 1533-position model. The record is from RNAcentral.